Kogia breviceps (pygmy sperm whale) is the source of this 968-nucleotide non-coding RNA. Lineage: Eukaryota; Metazoa; Chordata; Mammalia; Artiodactyla; Physeteridae. The record is from RefSeq and is a predicted model, not a curated record.
UCAGUUAUUCCAAUUCCAUCAUCAUGAGGAACCAAACUGAUCAGGGGCAGUUUCAGCUUCCAAUUCAAUGGAGUUAUGGCUGGGUCCUCUAGUGGAAGCAUUUCUUCCUUUUGAACUAGGACUUCAAAGUAUGAUAAUCUCAAGGUUGUAGAAAUGGUGUGCUGGAUAUUUUCAUUUGUCCUAGGUCUUUGUGCCUAGGAACCCCUACAGACUGUAUGGACCUGGCUCCCCCAUCUUCUGGCUUUCUUGUGGAUCCAGCCAAUGGAAGAUCUCAGCAGAAUAUCAGAGCAUGGAAGGACAGAAGGAUGUAUCUUUCUUUUCUACCCUAUUCCCCACUUGGAGCUGAGGUGCUAGCAGUGGCUACAACUAUAGGAUCUUACCCUCCUGGUCCAAAGAAACAAAGCCUGCAAGUGGUGGUUGACAUUGUAUGUGAAGAACUGUGAGGUGGCUCAUUAAGCUCUAUGGAGGUUUUAGCUCUGUGAGGGAGCAUGGAUUGCUCAGGCUCCUCGAGGGUAACUGACAAACCUCACUGAGGACUUUACGUGAGAUUUCCAUUAUGCUUCUUCUGCCUCCCCUCAAAAUUUGAGUCGCUGGAUUUUGAAUUUGCCUCUUUAACCUGCCCCUCCCAGGUUGUCAGGAAAGAAAACACCAGGCCUCCUCGGUCAGGCAAGCGGGCCCUUUAAGGAAGACGAAAGCUGCUUUGAUAGGCUGGGGCUCGGAAUCCCUGCCACGGCCAGCCAAUCCCAAAGCUCUGAGGGGCGAAACCCGGUCCGUGCGGCGGUCUCGGACUCCGGCCUGUAGGCCUCUGCUUUGAUCAGUGUCCCCGCACUUCCACUGCCCAGUGUGGCCUCCUUUGGGAACCAAGGGAAAGCUCUUCUUCCUGCUUGGUUUCUACCUUUAACCCGUGGGAAUAUACCCUGAUACAUUGAAACUACAAUCCAGACCCAAGAGAGCAAGGCCAAGAAAAA